AUACGGAGGGUGCAAGCGUUCUCCGGAUUUAUUGGGUUUAAAGGGUGCGCAGGCGGAUAAUUAAGUCAGUGGUGUAAUCCUCCCGCUCAACGGGAGAACUGCCAUUGAUACUGAUAAUCUGGAAUACGGUUGAAGUGGGCGGAAUGUAGCAUGUAGCGGUGAAAUGCAUAGAGAUGCUACAGAACACCGAUCGCGAAGGCAGCUCACUAAGUCGAUAUUGACGCUCAGGCACGAAAGCGUGGGUAGCGAACAGGAUUAGAAACCCCGGUAGUCC
RNAcentral lists this ribosomal RNA (274 nucleotides) under uncultured bacterium. RNAcentral's name for it is "partial 16S ribosomal RNA". It matches the Rfam family "Bacterial small subunit ribosomal RNA", at positions 523 to 796 of the family's 1533-position model. The record is from RNAcentral.